This 258-nucleotide ribosomal RNA is filed under the name uncultured bacterium. Its description in RNAcentral is "partial 16S ribosomal RNA". It matches the Rfam family "Bacterial small subunit ribosomal RNA", at positions 96 to 354 of the family's 1533-position model. The record is from RNAcentral.
UGGCGGACGGGUGAGUAACGCGUGGAAAACCUGCCGUAUACUGGGGGAUAACACUUAGAAAUAGGUGCUAAUACCGCAUAGGCGCACAGCUUCGCAUGAAGCGGUGUGAAAAACUCUGGUGGUAUACGAUGGUUCCGCGUCUGAUUAGCUAGUUGGUGGGGUAAUGGCCUACCAAGGCAACGAUCAGUAGCCGGCCUGAGAGGGUGAACGGCCACAUUGGGACUGAGACACGGCCCAAACUCCUACGGGAGGCAGCAG